RNAcentral lists this transfer RNA (88 nucleotides) under Clostridia bacterium. RNAcentral's name for it is "tRNA-Ser". It matches the Rfam family "tRNA". Rfam says of the family: Transfer RNA (tRNA) molecules are approximately 80 nucleotides in length. Their secondary structure includes four short double-helical elements and three loops (D, anti-codon, and T loops). Lineage: Bacteria; Bacillati; Bacillota; Clostridia. The record is from RNAcentral.
GCAAGCGUAUCGAAGUGGUCAUAACGGGGCUGACUCGAAAUCAGUUUGCCAUAAAGGCACGUGAGUUCGAAUCUCACCGCUUGCGCCA